This 154-nucleotide ribosomal RNA is filed under the name uncultured bacterium. Its description in RNAcentral is "partial 16S ribosomal RNA". It matches the Rfam family "Bacterial small subunit ribosomal RNA", at positions 338 to 509 of the family's 1533-position model. The record is from RNAcentral.
CCUACGGGAGGCAGCAGUGGGGAAUAUUGGACAAUGGGCGCAAGCCUGAUCCAGCCAUGCCGCGUGAGUGAUGAAGGCCCUAGGGUUGUAAAGCUCUUUUGUGCGGGAAGAUAAUGACUGUACCGCAAGAAUAAGCCCCGGCUAACUUCGUGCC